Molecule: ribosomal RNA, 254 nt
Filed under: uncultured bacterium
Lineage: Bacteria
Description: partial 16S ribosomal RNA
Rfam family: Bacterial small subunit ribosomal RNA
Source: RNAcentral
CACGUAGGGUGCGAGCGUUGUCCGGAAUUAUUGGGCGUAAAGAGCUCGUAGGCGGUGUGUCGCGUCGGCCGUGAAAACCUGCAGCUUAACUGUGGGCGUGCGGUCGAUACGGGCAUCACUGGAGUUCGGCAGGGGAGACUGGAAUUCCUGGUGUAGCGGUGAAAUGCGCAGAUAUCAGGAGGAACACCGGUGGCGAAGGCGGGUCUCUGGGCAGUAACUGACGCUGAGAAGCGAAAGCGUGGGGAGCGAACAGG